RNAcentral lists this ribosomal RNA (497 nucleotides) under uncultured bacterium. RNAcentral's name for it is "partial 16S ribosomal RNA". It matches the Rfam family "Bacterial small subunit ribosomal RNA", at positions 28 to 507 of the family's 1533-position model. The record is from RNAcentral.
GAUGAACGCUGGCGGCGUGCCUAAUACAUGCAAGUCGAGCGCACAGACGAGGAGCUUGCUCCUCUGACGUUAGCGGCGGACGGGUGAGUAACACGUGGAUAACCUACCUAUAAGACUGGGAUAACUUCGGGAAACCGGAGCUAAUACCGGAUAAUAUAUUGAAUCGCAUGGUUCUAUAGUGAAAGAUGGUUUUGCUUGCCCAUAUAGAUGGAUUCGCGCCGCAUUAGCUAGUUGGGAAGGUAACGGCUUACAAAGGCAACGAUGGGUAGCCGACCGGAGAGGGUGAUCGGCCACCCUGGAACUAAGAAAGGCUCCAGACUCCUACGGGAGGCAGCAGUGGGGAAUUUUCCGAAAUGGGGGAAAGCCUGCCGGGGCAACCCCGCGUAGGUAAUGAAGGUUUUCGGAUCGUAAAACCCGGUGAAUAGGGAAAAACAAAUGGGUAAUUAAAUAUGCACGUCGUGACGGUACCUUAUCAGAAAGCGACGGCUAACUACGUG